This 613-nucleotide ribosomal RNA is filed under the name Exophiala sp. XQ3-7. RNAcentral describes it as "eukaryotic LSU rRNA". The stretch from base 191 to 345 matches the Rfam family "5.8S ribosomal RNA". Lineage: Eukaryota; Fungi; Ascomycota; Eurotiomycetes; Chaetothyriales; Herpotrichiellaceae. The record is from RNAcentral.
UUCGGUACGGUCUCUCUGGCCGACCUCCCACCCUUUGUCUACUUGACCAUCGUUGCUUCGGCGAGCCCGUCCUCACGGACCGCCGGAGGGACCUUCACCGGCCCUCUGGUCCGCGCUCGUCGGUAGCCCAACCAUUAAAAUCUUUAACCAAACGUGCCUUAAUCUAAGUACAAUUAUUAAAUAAAAGCAAAACUUUCAACAACGGAUCUCUUGGUUCUGGCAUCGAUGAAGAACGCAGCGAAAUGCGAUAAGUAAUGCGAAUUGCAGAAUUCCAGUGAGUCAUCGAAUCUUUGAACGCACAUUGCGCCCUUUGGUAUUCCGAAGGGCAUGCCUGUUCGAGCGUCAUUAUCACCCCUCAAGCCCCUGGCUUGGUGUUGGACGGUUUGGUGGAGGCCCCCUCGGGGGCUCCUGCCCCUCCCAAAGACAAUGACGGCGGCCUCGUUGGACCCCCGGUACACUGAGUUCUUCACGGGACACGUAUCGGAUACAUGGGUUUACGGGACACGGUCUGCCUCCCCUCAGGGAGAAUCUUUCUAAGGUUGACCUCGGAUCAGGUAGGGAUACCCGCUGAACUUAAGCAUAUCAAAAGGCCGGAGGAAAUUAUUUUGGUGUG